CAGCCGUAAACUAUGCUCGCUAGGUGUCAGGCAUGGCGCGACCGUGUCUGGUGCCGCAGGGAAGCCGUGAAGCGAGCCACCUGGGAAGUACGGCCGCAAGGCUGAAACUUAAAGGAAUUGGCGGGGGAGCACCACAACAGGUGGAGCCUGCGGUUUAAUUGGACUCAACGCCGGGAAGCUCACCGGAUAAGACAGCGGAAUGAUUGCCGGGCUGAAGACUCUGCAUGACUAGCUGAGAGGUGGUGCAUGGCGUAGACGUCU
RNAcentral lists this ribosomal RNA (261 nucleotides) under uncultured archaeon. Its description in RNAcentral is "partial 16S ribosomal RNA". It matches the Rfam family "Archaeal small subunit ribosomal RNA", at positions 748 to 1009 of the family's 1478-position model. The record is from RNAcentral.